UCACCUCUUAUGUAGGUCACCAAUGGAUUAGUAGAGUGGGAAUGAUUUGUUAUACUGGAGUGUUUUGUAUGCAAUUGCCAAUUUGAAAUGCCAGUUAAGGCUUAAGAACACAGCCAGAGAGAGCUUACUUUGAAUGGUGUUUGAAGAAUUUGAUGUUUUGUUUUUAUACUUCUGUUAGGACAAUGUGUUUGAUAGUCACAUGGAAGAAAAUAGAGAAUAUUUGACUGCUGUGCUUUCUUUACACUGAAUCGAACUGAGGAAAUGCAGUCCUAUUAACCUGAUUUUGUUUCUUAUGAAAUAAAAGAAAUAG
Long non-coding RNA from Strigops habroptila (Kakapo), 310 nucleotides. RefSeq lists it as uncharacterized. The record is from RefSeq and is a predicted model, not a curated record. The transcript has 3 exons. NCBI's taxonomy places the organism in Eukaryota, Metazoa, Chordata, Aves, Psittaciformes, Psittacidae.